GAUGAACGCUGGCGGCGUGCCUAAUACAUGCAAGUCGAGCGAAUGGAUUAAGAGCUUGCUCUUAUGAAGUUAGCGGCGGACGGGUGAGUAACACGUGGGUAACCUGCCCAUAAGACUGGGAUAACUCCGGGAAACCGGGGCUAAUACCGGAUAACAUUUUGAACCGCAUGGUUCGAAAUUGAAAGGCGGCUUCGGCUGUCACUUAUGGAUGGACCCGCGUCGCAUUAGCUAGGUGGUGAGGUAACGGCCCACCAAGGCAACGAUGCGUAGCCGACCUGGGAGGGUGAGCGGCCACACUGGGACUGAGGCACGGCCCAGACUCCUACGUGAGGCAGCAGUAGGGAAUCUUCCGCAAUGGACGAAAGUCUGACGGAGCAACGCCGCGGGAGUGAUGAAGGCUUUCGGGUCGUAAAACUCUGUUGUUAGGGAAGAACAAGUGCUAGUUGAAUAAGCUGGCACCUUGACGGUACCUAACCAGAAAGCCACGGCUAACUACGUGCCAGCCGCCGCAGUAA
This 515-nucleotide ribosomal RNA is filed under the name uncultured bacterium. RNAcentral's name for it is "partial 16S ribosomal RNA". It matches the Rfam family "Bacterial small subunit ribosomal RNA", at positions 28 to 523 of the family's 1533-position model. The record is from RNAcentral.